RNAcentral lists this ribosomal RNA (266 nucleotides) under uncultured prokaryote. RNAcentral's name for it is "partial 16S ribosomal RNA". It matches the Rfam family "Bacterial small subunit ribosomal RNA", at positions 524 to 789 of the family's 1533-position model. The record is from RNAcentral.
UACGUAGGUGGCGAGCGUUGUCCGGAUUUACUGGGCGUAAAGGGAGCGUAGGCGGACUUUUAAGUGAGAUGUGAAAUACCCGGGCUCAACUUGGGUGCUGCAUUUCAAACUGGAAGUCUAGAGUGCAGGAGAGGAGAAUGGAAUUCCUAGUGUAGCGGUGAAAUGCGUAGAGAUUAGAAAGAACACCAGUGGCGAAGGCGAUUCUCUGGACUGUAACUGACGCUGAGGCUCGAAAGCGUGGGGAGCAAACAGGAUUAGAUACCCGU